UAGAGUGUGGGAGAGGAAGAUGGAAUUAGUUGUGUAGGGGUAAAAUCCGUAGAGAUAACUAGGAAUACCAAAAGCGAAGGCAAUCUUCUGGAACACUACUGACGCUGAGGCGCGAAAGCGUGGGGAGCAAACAGGAUUAGAUACCCUGGUGGUCCACGCCCUAAACGAUGAAUGUUAGUCGUCGGGUAGCUAGUCUAUUCGGUGAUGCAGCUAACGCAUUAAACAUUCCGCCUGGGGAGUACGGUCGCAAGAUUAAAACUCAAAGGAAUAGACGGGGACCCGCACAAGUGGUGGAGCAUGUGGUUUAAUUCGAAGAUACGCGAAGAACCUUACCUAGCCUUGACAUAUAUUAGAACUCAGUAGAGAUACAGAGGUGCCUUCGGGAGCUUUUAUACAGGUGCUGCACGGCUGUCGUCAGCUCGUGUCGUGAGAUGUUGGGUUAAGUCCCGCAACGAGCGCAACCCUCGUCACUAGUUACUAACGGUUCGGCCGAGGACUCUAGUGAGGCUGCCUUCGUAAGGAGGAGGAAGGUGAGGACGACGUCAAGUCAUCAUGGCCCUUACGGCUAGGGCAACACACGUGCUACAAUGGCCAGGACAGUGAGAAGCGAUACCGCGAGGUGGAGCAAAUCUAUAAACCUGGUCUCAGUUCGGAUUGUAGUCUGCAACUCGACUACAUGUAGCUGGAAUCACUAGUAAUCGUAGAUCAGCUAUGCUACGGUGAAUACGUUCCCGGGUCUUGUACUCACCGCCCGUCACACCAUGGGAGUUGAUUUCACCCGAAGCGGGGAAGCUAAACUGGCUACCCUCCACGGUGGAAUUAGCGACUGGGGUGAAGUCGUAACAAGGUAACC
Molecule: ribosomal RNA, 853 nt
Filed under: uncultured bacterium
Lineage: Bacteria
Description: bacterial SSU rRNA
Rfam family: Bacterial small subunit ribosomal RNA
Source: RNAcentral